RNAcentral lists this long non-coding RNA (6370 nucleotides) under Sus scrofa (pig). RNAcentral describes it as "lncRNA (ENSSSCG00015065938.1)". The record is from RNAcentral. Lineage: Eukaryota; Metazoa; Chordata; Mammalia; Artiodactyla; Suidae.
GUCUCUUAUCCCCGAACUGUGGGCCCUAAAGGUAGGGACACAUUCGUUUUGUGCGCCAACACGCCCUCCGUGCCCAGCACAGUGGUGGAUAUGGAACAAGUGCUCAAAAAGUGUUUGUUGAGUGAAUGAGCAGGUGGAGCAUGAUGGACAGAUACACAGAUGACCAGCCAAAGUCACACUGGUGCUAAGGGUCAGCUUAUCUGUUCUGUUCCAUCGCACUGAAUCCUUAGGCCUCUGGGACCCCAGGUUUGGCCUGCAUGUCAGCGUCCGCAUCUGCAGAGUGAGGACAGAGAGGCUUGGGGUUGCGCUGUGCUAAUGGGUCGUGGAAAUGUACACUGUGUAGUGAUUGUUCAUGCUGAGGUUCACGCCUGUCAAUACGCACACGAGGCAGCUCGGAGCCGGGGACAGUUCACACUGCAUGUGGCCACAGACACGCCUGACAGUGAGAGUCUCUGUAACCGCAGAUGAAGGCCCUGAUGGGUGCUUGAUAGGAACCACAGUUACUCAGCAGGUUUAAUCAAAUCAAGGUACUGAUGAAGUGGCCCCAAUUAUUUGAAAUUUAGCAUUAUGGCCAUGGUGUCAACAAGUAGGCGCUGUACCAACACAGGGUAGAAUUUGUCUACAAGAAGGAGGAAGUUGCAUUAGGGGCAGGGGAACUUGGGGGGGUCAUCCUGGAGCAAGGGACACUAAACAGGUUGAUGCUCGUGUGGAUGAGCUAAGGAGGGCUCAGCAUGACAAAAGAAAUGGAAAUAAGUCAUCUCGCCUCAUCUUGUAUCAGGUUAUAUCCCAUAGUCUGGCCAAUUGCAUACCUGCUGUUUCAUGGCUGUGAGAUUCCGAAUGGCAGGGAUCUUGUCUAAGUGUGUCUAAGUGCCACAAGCACCAAAUGCAUUCGCUUACCUGGUGCAUUGUAUUGAGUGGUUCCUAUGUGACAAGCUCUAGGCUGGGCCCUGGGAGUGCAGUGCCUGCACAAAAACCUUUAAGGUCCUACUCUCAAGAAGUUCGCAGCCUCAAGGGAGAGACAGACCUGCCUCAAAGACACGUCCACAUUGUGGGAAGUCAAGGCUGAUGUAAAUCUAUGGGAGGAGAGGUGUGUGCUGCUAUGGUUGUCCAGGGGAAGAGCUUGACUCCCCAGGGAGGCCAGGUCACUUUUCCAUGAAAGCAAUUGUUGAGCUGAGAUCUGAAGGAUGAAGAGUGGAAGUGAGGGAAACCCAAGGGGGAGGCAUAGGAAGAAGAAGACUCAAUAGAUCACGCAGAGGCCACGUGGCAGAAAGGACCAGAAGAUGUUCUUCUGUUUGGCUGAAGCAGAGAGGAAGGGAGGAUGGUGCAAGAUGAGGCUAGAGGGCUGGGAAGAGGUCAGAAGAUGCCAGCAGCCCUUGAAUCUCAUGUUAAUCAUUUUGGCCCUUAGUCUAUAAGGGAUGAAAUGCCACUGAUGCAAUUAAUGUGGUGGGCAUAAGGAUCAGGACUUACUUUUUUUUUUUUGUCUUUUUAGGGCAGCACCCCUGUAGCAUAUGGAGGUUCUCAGGCUAGGGGUUGAAUCGGAGCUGCAGCUGCUGGCCUACUCCACAGCCACAGCAAUGGGGGAUCCAAGCUGUGUCUGUGCCUACACCACAGCUCACAGCAAUGCAGGAUCCUUAACCCAGUGAGCGAGGCCAGGGAUCAAACCUGCAUCCUCAUGGAUACUAGGCAGAUUCGUUUCCACUGAGCCACAACCAGAACUCCAGGACUUACAUUUUGGAUCUUGUUCUUGUGCAUUUACUAGAAUGGAGUAGAGGUGGAUUAGGUGUAAUUUUGCCCUGGAACAAGAACAAAGUUGCUCUGGGAAUUCCAUCAUUCCUUGCAGUCUCAUAGUCCCAGUCCUUCCACAGGGUCUAAAGUAGGAGUUACAACUGCAUGCUUUACUGCCUCAUCCUCAGAGAUUGCAAAACAUUCUAGGUGUGUUGCCUGCUGGGACCUGCCCUUGGUCAUUUGCUCCUGAGAGAAACCAGGCCCUUUACAGAAGUUCUGUUUUUUUUUUUUUUUUGUCUUUUUGCCAUUUCUUGGGCCACUCCCAUGGCAUAUGGAGGUUCCCAGGCUAGGGGUCUAAUUGGAGCUGUAGCCACUGGCCUAUGCCAGAGCCACAACAACGUGGGAUCCGAGCCGCGUCUGCAGCCUACACCACAGCUCAUGGCAAUGCAGGGUCCUUAACCCAUCGAUCAAGGCCAGGGACCGAACCCGCAACCUCGUGGUUUCUAGUCAGAUUCGUUAACCACUGUGCCACAAUGGGAACUCCUUUUUAGAGAAGUUCUGAUGUGACUCUCUUGAUUUAUGGGCAUGAAGAUGCAGCUAUCUCACAAACAUCAUUGUGAUGUCACAAGAGCCUGCAUGACCUCCCCUGCAAGCCCACCACCUAGAUAAGUCAUACUGACUUAUGUAGAAAAGUCGAGGGCCUUGGCUCUGGAAGGGACAUUGGGGAUUGUCUAGACCAUCCCUUACAUUAUGUAGACGAGGACAUCGAGGCACAAGUCGCUUAUCUAAUGUCAAAAAGUCAGAUGGUGACCCUUCAGUAACUGGUGUUCACAGCCCAGCUGGUGUCAUGUCAGCACAAGAAGGGCUGAGAUGAUUCUUCUCUCCCCAUCAGGCCCCCUGUUGGAAAAUAGACCUGUAACCUUGGCCACUGCUCUAUUCCCCUCAAUCUCUCAUAUCUUAGUGCACAAGGAGCAUCUAAAACAGGCCGGCUCCGCAGUAUCUGCUACCCGAGGAUGAAGGUGACAGGUCAGAAACAAAAGUGAAGCCUGUCCUUUUCAGAGGCAUCCUCUGACUUCGAAUGACCUUUUCUCAUGAACUGGGAGACCUCUAGAAAUCAAUUGAUCCUUAUUAUGCAGAAGGAUAUGCUCAGGGUGGUAUGAUAUCAAAUUCCAGAUAUGUGGCAACCUGACUUGUCUGGUCUAUGCACUGCAAGAGGCCUCUUCCUUUGUCAUCUCUAGACCAUCAAAACCAAAAGAAAACCCACAAAGAAAAUGCCUGGGUCUCUAUAUGAACAAUUUGAGGUUAACAGUAUACAACACACAUCCAAGUAUGUCAGGACUGUCCAGUGUGAUCAUGAGUGGAGGCCCAGCCCUCUCCCUCCCCGACUCCCACAGCCCUGCUCUGCCCUCACAGUGGACCACUGGGGCCCGGGCACCAGCUAGAAAAUCGGUUCAGAAGAGCACUAGACCAAUGCAAAAUAGGAAGGGAGGGUUCAGGUUCAGAUCAGAUAUGAGUGCAGUGCUGACCGCAUGGGGGCUGGGCACACAGGGAUUUCCCUUCUAGGAAGUCGAGCCUCAGGAAGCCUUUGCUUCUCUGAACAGACCAACCUGGUUCUUCUGGAGAGCUCAGUGCCAAGAGAUUUCCCAGCUCCUUGGAGAGGAGAAGGUUGGAAGAGAGAGUGUGGAGAUGGAAAUAGCCCAUCAGCCUCCAGCCUCCAAGGGAAGCUGGAGUUGCUUUGGGAGUCCCCUGGCUUUAUCCCAGGGGAGGAGACGCCCAGUCUCAUUUGGCACAGGGGUGGAUGCCUCUUUGGGUGAAGCCCAGAUGGGGAGGGAUGGUGAGAGCCACUCUCAGGAUUCUGCUCCUUUCCCCAGUGGGGCCUCCCCUCCUUUUGUUUAGGGUGAGGUUUGAGAGUCAGAGGACACUGUCUUACCACUGCCUGCCACAGUGCCCAUGAAAAUCAGACCCCUCCCCUAUUGUAAUCCAGACAGGGGCUCAGUUUAUCAGCAGCCUCAGAGAAAAGACCCAGCCUGAGAGGAGACAGAGAGUGGGCCCAGGAAUCUGAGAAGGGCCUGGAGACCCAGAACCUUGCAAACACAUGAUCCACAUAGGGGUCUCGCUGUCCGUGUCACCUGGCUGCCUUCCGAGUACUUGAAGCCUUGGGUCUGGACUGUAGGCUGGGUCUUAGGAGGAGAGCAGAGCUGACUUGUACCUUAACCAUGUAUUGGGUCCUCAUCUCCUCUGGGGUGUGGGGGCAGGAGGAGCUUCUCUAGCUCUAGAACAUUGGUUUUUCAUCUGUUUGAAGAUCCCAUAUCAGGAGUUCCUGUUGUGGCUCAGUGGAAACGAAUCUGACUAGCAUCCAGGAGGAUGCAGGUUUGAUCCCUGGCCUUGCUCAGUGGGUUAAGGAUCCAACAUUGCCAUGAGCUGUGGUAUAGGUCGCAGAUGUGACUUGGAUCUGGUGUCACUGUGGCUAUGGUGUAGGCUGGUGGCUAAAGCCAUGAUUCAACCCCGAGCCUGGGAACCUCCAUGUGCAGUGGGUGGGCCUCCCCCCCAAAAAAAUCAGAUUUUAUGCUGCAAUUGAGGAGCACAAGCAAUGGAAGAGAGUUCAGGAGGGUAGGGGGAAAUCAAAGAUACGUUAUAUAUUGUUUUCCCCUGUAAAAGCAUCCUGUAUUCUCAAUUCCUCUUUAUUUUCCAUUCUUCCCGACAACAUUUUUCUUCCAUUGCUUUUCGAUGGCGAUGUCUGGGAAAGGAGUGACUGUGGUGGGUUUUUGAGUAAAGAGAAAGACCUGCAGUUUCACUUGUGUUGGCUGGAAGCCUUGGCUACCAUGAGCAGAUCUCUCACCCAGGCUUGUGUUUGGACUUCAUUUUGCUCAAAGAAAUGGAGAGGUAAGAAAUAUCUUUGUUGGAAUUCCCAUCGUGGCUCAGUGGAAAUGAAUCUGACUAGUAUCCAUGAGGACUCAGGUUUGAUCCCUGGGCUUGCUUGGUGGGUUGAGGAUCCAGUGUUGCUGUGAGCUAUGGUGUAGGUCGCAGACGUGGCUUGGAUCUGGCGUUGCUGUGGCUGUGGUGUAGGCCCAUAGCUGUAGCUCCGAUUCAACCCCUAGCUUGGGAACCUCCAUAUGCCGUGAGUGCAGCCCUAAAAAGACUCCCCCCCCCAAAAAAAAAAUGAAAGAAAGAAAAGAAAAAUGAAACAUCUUUGUUAUCAUCUUAAGAUUUCCCGAAGCCCCGCCUUUUGCAUUGCACUGCACAUUGGGUGGUGGAGGCAGCGUGAAGGCCAAGAGCAAAGGUUAGAGCUGGAAGGAGAGUCGGGAAGACAGUGGAGCCGGAUUGACUGGAGGCCAAAGCCAGGGAAGGAUGAAAGCCAAGCACCAGGCCACCAGGCAAAGAGGGUCCCAGGAGGAAAUAGGGGCAAAGGAGGGACCAGCACCCAGAGAAGGGGCAGGGGAGUGGGGUGGUGCCCCAGGGACAUGCCUGCCUCAGAGGCUCCGCCUGUACCCUCAGUGCCUAUCGCCCACCAGCAAAUCCUCUGUGGGAAGAGCCCCACCCAGGGCCCCAGAAGGUGAGCCAAGCCAUUUGGGAACAUCAGGGACCCAGGAGUGAGCACAGGGCAGCCUGGGAGGUACAGCAACUGCUGGGCUUCCGACCUGUCCUGCCCACACGUCCCUACCCACACCCACCCCUCCUCCUGCUUGGCCUUUCUUGCCCAGACCCCUACAGGUUUGGUUGUAGUUGAGUGGGUGACCAUCCAUCCCCCAUACCCCGAACAAAAGUGGUGUCUUUUGCUUUUGAAGGUUGCCUCUGUUAGAGCAGAAGCAGAAAUGUUGCAGGACUCUGCCUUGGAGGGCUGGAGACAUGUGUUGCUUCCUCGGUGUCUUCCAACCAUGGAAUGUUAGAAACAAACAGAAAGGGAUGGAACAGCCCUUCUGCCCCCCCUUGUUGGUUUGGUAGCUGCUGCUCAGCUCAGCAGACACCCUGGAUUAUUCCAGCCCUGAACACCCACGGCCACAGGUAUCCCUUUAAAGAGCCGCUGUGGUUCUUCCUUUUUCAGUUUGGCUAGGAAAACCCUACUCCCCAAACGUGCUCCUUCGGAAAUACCCACCCUUGCCUGGAUGCUCCCCCAUGCAGUUCUAUCUCCUGGCCAUCCCAUGGUUCCUUGGACCCUGACGCUGAAGACUGCCCAGCCCUGAGACCACGUGGGCCUCUCAGAGCGCUUCCCACGGCCCGUGUCCUGCAGCUGGCAGUGUCCUGCGUCUGCUGUCCAGGCCUCUGGGCCUCUUGGCAGUGAAGUGGGUGGAUUCUGUUCCCACUCCCUGACCCCCACUGCCCCUUAGCAACCAGCGUAGUUCCACUCUCACUUGUUUUAUACCAUCGCUUCCUACUGUUAAAAAUUAAGACCGGAGUUCCCAUGGUGGCAUAGUGAAAUGAAUCUGACCAGGAACCAUGAGGUUGCAGGUUUGAUCCCUGGCCUCGCUCAGUGGGUCAGGGAUCCAGCAUUGCUGUGAGCUGUGGUGUAGGUUGCAGACGCAGCUUGGAUCCAGUGUUGCUGCUGCUGUGUCUAAUUGGCUACAGCUCCAAUUAGACCCCCAGCCUGGGCGCCUCCAUAUGCCACAGGUGCAGCCCUAAAAAGACAAAAAAAAAAAAAAAAAAAAAA